Phalaenopsis equestris is the source of this 1244-nucleotide RNA transcript. RefSeq lists it as uncharacterized. The record is from RefSeq and is a predicted model, not a curated record. NCBI's taxonomy places the organism in Eukaryota, Viridiplantae, Streptophyta, Magnoliopsida, Asparagales, Orchidaceae. The transcript has 3 exons.
UGCUGCCAUAUCUCCUCUGAUAGCUUUGCUCGGUGACGACAUGUCCUUUGGCUAACUUGGCUCUGAUACCAAAUGUUUGUUCCAGUUUAAUGGAUCGCUAAAGGAUAAAUUGAAAUAAAAUAAGACUAGACUUUUGGGAAUUCUCUUUAUAUUAUUUUGAAAGAGGAAAGGAUACAAGUUUGGAGUGUGUCUUACAUUGCAGCACAACGCCCAAUUUAUACUAACCAAUGGAUACCGAAAAAAAAAGAAAAUGUACACAAUAAAGGCAAAGAGAAUUGUAGGCAUUAAGUGUCAUCAAUUCACGUCUAUUUUAAGACCUAUAUUUAUUCCACUAAUUGUGUAAUUCAUUUAUGCCUAUUAUAAGACCACUAAUUGAGUAAUCAAUUCAUGCCUAUAUUUAUUCCACUAAUUGAGUAAUCAAUUCAAGAUUAGACUCAUAAAAUCUUUACUGGGCUGCCCUCAUCCUGUGCCCUCUAGUGCUUCGUCUCGUCUACCCUCAUCCCGUGCCCUCUAGUGCUUCGUCUACCCUCAUCUCGUGACUCUUUCGAUCGCUCCCGCAUCUCCUCUGCCCUACCCUAGGUCCCUCUUCAAUCGCUCUCGCCUUUCUUCUCGUCCUCCUCCCUCUGAUCCCUGGUUGUGUUGCUCUGUACAGACUGUCCGCCAUCAUAAGCGGCUGAUAUCAACACAGUUGCAUUCUCCUAAAGCUCUGUCUCCUCUCUGCUUAAACUGGCAAGGGAAGAACAUACCACCACCUAAUCGAGCGCAGGAACUAUUGCUCCAUUGCUUCUCUGCGUCAAUUAUUUUCUUGCCCUUGUUUGAUUUCUUUCUUUCUUUUUUGUUAUCGCUAACAGGGACGUGCUCCGAUCCGAUUUCGGUUCCUCCUGGAGGUUCAAAUCUUGUUCUCUUCAAGAGGAUGUUGAGAAUUGACGGUGUAUUGGAGAAGGAAGUAAUUGAUAUGGAGAUAGUCAAGAAAGUAGAAAAGUAACUCAGAAGGUUUCUUCUGAUGUGGCUGAAUCACUACCGGCUGAUAGCAACCUAAACAAAUUUACUAUCGAUGUGGAAAACGAGGCAGAAGAAUUGAGUGGUAUAAAAUGCCGAAUGAAAGCCCCAUCUCGACACUCGGAAGAAGGAAUAAUAGAGUUCGAUCAACAACUGCAUACAUGUUGGGGUGCCAACCUCCUUGUGGCCACCCGAUGAAGGCUACAAAAAAAAUAUUUACAAAUUUCUUAGAAAAUAACACUAAG